This 1097-nucleotide long non-coding RNA is filed under the name Felis catus (domestic cat). RNAcentral describes it as "lncRNA (ENSFCAG00000041800.2)". The record is from RNAcentral. Lineage: Eukaryota; Metazoa; Chordata; Mammalia; Carnivora; Felidae.
CCUGUUCUUCCUAAGUGCUGUUCAAGUCACCAGCAGCUCAGAAAACCAUCGAACAUCGGAGAAUGGCCACUGCACACAUUAAUGCUUCCACUGCUGCCCUUUGACGGUUUUUGUACCUAUUCAUGCUGUUUCAGGUUCAGUGUUGUCAUCUCACACUGGACUCCUGUUCUCCAACAAGUGACUGUGUAAACGGGGAGGAGAGAAAUCGCAAGGUUUCUAACAAUUAUCUGCAGCUUUCUUACCAAGACCCAGUAGCCUGCAGAAGAGAACGCCUCCAAUUUCCUGCCCUCUCAUUGGCAUGGCCUACACCCUCACUGUGUGACCUCAGGGCUGCACAUUUCCCUCUGUGGACUUUCAUCUCCCUGGCUCCAGGCACAGUCAACACUCCAUUGUUUCCAUUUGCUUCGAUGUAUCAACGUAUUGACCCACGUGGGCACCAGGAACCUUGUCUCCCCAGGAGAGAAAGUCCUCAUUGCUGCAAGUUCCCUGAAAGAUUUGCGGAAGAAUCGGGCUCUUUUGUUUCUGCCCUUCAUUCAUCUUCCUUCCCUUUGCCAAAACAAACACACUUGCAUUCUGAAAUCAACAGCAUCAGCCAACUGUGUUUGCCAUGGCCUAACCCCUGCACAACCUGUGUUUGAACCCUUUGGAGGCUUUGAUGCCGAGACUGAAAAAUCCAAGUGAUGUUCAUUUAUCCCACUUGGAAUCGCUUGAUAAAUUGUGUUGCUGGAGUUAACACUUGCCAGUUAGUCUCUUUGGGUUUAUUGGCUUUGUGUCAACUUCAUCCAUCGCUGAAUUGGCCAAGUGGUGCACAUCCUGCGUGGCUUUUGGAUAGAAAGCUUCUCUUAACUUGCUUUGUGCUUGUUUGGAGCUUCCACUGGAAAUACUGCCUUCCUGGUCUGGCAAUACUCCUGUGAUCCAGGCAGGGAAGGUGUUUGCAUUUUUCAGACACUGAAACCGGUAUUUAAUUGGGAUCAGCGAUUCAUUCACAUUACAAGGCGCCUGGCAAAACCAGGACUUGAACGUAAGUCUCAUGACUGAAAAUUCAGUGAACUUACCCCAUUAUUCCCUUAGCAUCCAGUUUAGUGUUAAAUAAAGGA